This 440-nucleotide ribosomal RNA is filed under the name uncultured bacterium. Its description in RNAcentral is "partial 16S ribosomal RNA". It matches the Rfam family "Bacterial small subunit ribosomal RNA", at positions 338 to 795 of the family's 1533-position model. The record is from RNAcentral.
CCUACGGGUGGCAGCAGUGGGGGAUAUUGCACAAUGGGGGAAACCCUGAUGCAGCGACGCCGCGUGUGGGAAGACGGUCCUCUGGAUUGUAAACCACUUUCCCCAGGGACUAAGAUGACGGUACUUGGGGAGGAAGCUCCGACAAACUACGUGCCAGCACCCGCGGUAAUACGUAGGGAGCGAGCGUUGUCCGGAAUUACUGGGUGAAAGGGGCGCGUAGGCGGGACUGCAAGUUGGGUGUCAAAUCUUCCGGCUCAACCGGUAGCCGCACUUAAAACUGCAGGUCUUGGGGGAAGUAGAGGCAGGCGGAAGUCCUAGUGUAGCGGUGAAAUGCGUAGAUAUUAGGAGGAACACCAGUGGCGAAGGCGGCCUGCUGGGCUUUUACUGACGCUGAGGCUCGAAAGUGUGGGGAGCAAACAGGAUUAGAUACCCGAGUAGUC